GUGCAGCAGUCGCGAAAACUCUGCAAUACGCGAAAGCGUGACAGGGCUACCCCGAGUGUCGUCCGCUGAGGACGACUUUUCCACGCUGUAAGGAGGCGUAGGAAUAAGGAGAGGGCAAGUCUGGUGUCAGCCGCCGCGGUAAUACCAGCUCUCCGAGUGGUAGGGACGUUUAUUGGGCUUAAAGCGUCCGUAGCCGGCUCAACAAGUCUCCCGUUAAAUCCAACGAUUCAAUCGUUGGACUGCGGGAGAUACUGUUAGGCUAGGGGGCGGGAGAAGCCGACGGUAUUUCCGGGGUAGGGGUAAAAUCCUAUAAUCCCGGGAGGACCACCAGUGGCGAAGGCGGCCGACUAAAACGCGGCCGACGGUGAGGGACGAAAGCUGGGGUAGCGAACCGGAUUAGAUACCCCGGUAGUCC
Molecule: ribosomal RNA, 415 nt
Filed under: uncultured crenarchaeote
Lineage: Archaea; Thermoproteati; Thermoproteota
Description: partial 16S ribosomal RNA
Rfam family: Archaeal small subunit ribosomal RNA
Source: RNAcentral